This is a non-coding RNA of Echinostoma caproni, 45 nucleotides long. The record is from Rfam. Lineage: Eukaryota; Metazoa; Platyhelminthes; Trematoda; Plagiorchiida; Echinostomatidae.
GCACUGCUGACGAGUCUCAAACAGGACGAAGCAGCUGUUCAGUGC